RNAcentral lists this ribosomal RNA (253 nucleotides) under uncultured bacterium. RNAcentral describes it as "partial 16S ribosomal RNA". It matches the Rfam family "Bacterial small subunit ribosomal RNA", at positions 524 to 776 of the family's 1533-position model. The record is from RNAcentral.
UACGGAGGGAGCUAGCGUUGUUCGGAAUUACUGGGCGUAAAGCGCACGUAGGCGGCUUUGUGAGUUAGAGGUGAAAGCCCGGGGCUCAACUCCGGAACUGCCUUUAAGACUGCAUCGCUUGAAUCCAGGAGAGGUGAGUGGAAUUCCGAGUGUAGAGGUGAAAUUCGUAGAUAUUCGGAAGAACACCAGUGGCGAAGGCGGCUCACUGGACUGGUAUUGACGCUGAGGUGCGAGAGCGUGGGGAGCAAACAGG